GUUUGCAGUCUCCCUAGAGGAAGUGGAGGGGCCUGAAUUGGCCACCCCGGGCAUGGCGCAACACCUCCGACUCUGGGGAGGAGUUGAGUCCAGGCCCCUGAUGCUGCGGCGGUCUUCACUUGCUCUCACCCACGAGCCACUGCAGCGGCAGCGGCCCUCUUCUCCGUCGUCACUAGGACGGGGCCCAAGGUCCUCUCUUGCUCUCUCCCAGAAGCUGCAGCGGAAACCUUCGUCUUCACUUUCUCUCUCCCAAAAGCCACUGAAGCGGUAGCUGGCGUCUUCACUGCCGCUCACACCAGAGGAGUCGCUGGCUGCGUAGCCGCGGUCUCCACUUACUUCCUCCCAAGAACUACCAACGCUGUGGCCGCCUUCGACACUCCCUCCCUCCCAGGAGCCACUGAAGCGGCGACUGCGAUCGUCACUGACUCUAUCCCCGAAGUCACUAGUUCGCGGGUCCCGAAUGUCACUGACUCCCUCCCAAGGACCACUGAGGCGGAGGCCUCGGUCUUCUCUGGCUGUUCCCCUGGAGUCGGUAGUUUGGUGGCCUCCAACUUCACUAAAAUUCACGUCGCUGCUGCAGAAGGUGCUGUCUCCCCUAACUCUCUCCCAAGAGCAGCUGUGACUGUGGCCACUAUCUCCCCUAACUCUCUCCCUAGAGACGCUGCGGCAGUGGCCGAGGUUUUCACUGACCCUUCUCAAGUCACUGCGGGAGAAGCCGGCGUCUGCACUUAGGCUUCCUGCAGCGACCCUGGAGCGGCGGUCGCUCUCUUCACAUUUUCUUUCCCCGUCGUCGCUAACUCUUUCCCUAGACUCGGCGCCGGAAUGGCCGUGUAGACCGUUUAUCCUCCACACGUGGUGGCUAGUGCGGCGGCCACCGUCUUCGUCUGCUACUCCCUGCGAAUCGCCGUAGCGGCGGCCGCCUUCCGCUGGUACUUUCUCGGAGUCUCUUUCCAGCCUCCCGACUCCAGCCACUUGGCUGGAGAGGCAGCAGGGCCGUCGCCUUGGAAACGAGUACACUUCCGACGUGCUGAGGUCAUUUCCCGUUCCUCACGGCCCACGCUACUUCCGGUUUCCUUUCCCUCAGCUAUUCCAUGGCUUUUCGUGUGGACAAAUCGGGAGGUGGUGUAAACUGGUUUUUGGUGAAAUUCGGCUCGGCCUCAUGCGAACCUAUCUAGGUCCGUCUCUGGAGUGGCCUGUCAUCGAUCGCGCCCUCCAUCGCUGAGCGACACAAGUGGAACCCCCCAGGACUGCAUUCUGCUUUUGGUCUGUGAACACAUUUGGGAAAUUCUUCUGAUCCUACCGCUACUCUCUUGAGAGAGAGAAACAAGGGAAAAAAAAGUUAAUUGCCUGAGGAUAUACUGCUAGUGUUGCGGGACAAAUAGAGACGGGAGAGGCCAAACAGAAUUCAGGACAACCCUUUAUUAUUAAGCGCGCUAGGGAGGGAAGCAGGAACUCGUGGUGCCUCAAGGAACGUGAAACGGUGGAACACAGAUAAGCCUCUCCGUGCGUAGAGGAGAAAUAAGCGGUUAAUAUUCUCUCUUAACCCAGGCCUCCGGAGGGUGGGGGGCUAUAUUUCAUUCUACCUCUAAGGAAAAGAAUAAACUUCUUGACUAAUAUACUUAUAAAAUUCAUUAAUUCCCCCUUCACUAGUAAAUAAUAAAUACCUGACUUAGGAUUCCAAAAUAGGUCUUGAAUUUUUCUGCAGGAGCUCCUCAAAGUCUCUGAAUUCCCACAACCUUUUAUUAGAUCACUUAUCCCAUUGUAUUAUAAUUAUCUGUUUAACAAUUUUUCCUCACCCCUAAAGGACCCUGAGCUUCUGGAAGGUAGGGACUGUAUCUUAAAAUCUUGGCAUUUCUGAUGUCUAGAAUAUUUCAUUUAAGAGAAGGGCUUAGUAACUGUUGUGUGGGUGGGUUGAUGAGUUAACUGUCAGGCAGGUGAACUAAUAGGCUGAAGAUAAAGUUUUUCACUGUUGGAAGUGAAUUUGGGAUUAGUCAUCCUAAUCCCCUCACUUUUAGAGAUGGGGCAACUGAGUCAUGCGCGGUGGCUCACGCCUGUAAUUCUAGCACUUUGGGAGGCCAAGGUGAGCGGAUCACCUGAAGUCAGGGAUUUGAGACCAGCCUGGCCAACAUGGCGAAACCCCAUCUCUACUAAAAAUACAAAAAUUAGCCAGGCAUGGUAGCAGGAGCCUGUAAUCCCAGCUGUUCGGGAGGCUGAGGCAGGAGAAUCACUUGAACCUGGGAGGCGGAGGUUGCAGUGAGUUGAGAUCGCGCAAUUGCGCUCCAGCCUGGGCGACAAGAGCAAAACUCCACCUCAAAGAAAAAACAAAACAAGACAUGGGGCAGCUGAGGCCUUUUGUAUACCAGGCAUUUAUCGAGUUAUUCAUGUGGGCCAGUUUCUGUGAUAAAUGAUUUGCAAAUAAUACCCAACUUAAUCUGUAUUGUUAUUUUUAUUUUUACAGAUGAAGAAACAGCUCAGAUUUGACCAAGAUCACACAAGUAGGAGUUGAGGAAUUGGAACCCACUAUGACUGACUCCAAAUUAAUAUAGUGUUUAUAGCCACUUACAUAAUAAUGAGGGUGUUGCUAUGCUUUCCUCUGUACAAGCUGGUGGUGUAUCAAUUCGUUCUUCCUUAACUUUGGGACUGUCACAGGGUUCCUGCAAUUCGUUUUUGACAAUGUUCAACAUAAUAUUCAAGGGGUUUUCAACUGGUGUCUUGCUGGGAGAUGGUGUACAAUCAAAUGAAGAUGUCUACAAAAUGAAAGGCCCUAUGAGUACUGAUGAAAGUUCAAAAUUCUCACAUUAAAUAACAUUUAGUCUUGUAAGACCCUUGUAUGAACAAGAGAACACACAUACAACCAAAUGCAAAUGAAACACCUGCCUCCCAACAAAAUGUGCCAUAAAGACAACCAGAAAUAAAAUAUAUAUUGCACGUUCAA
RNAcentral lists this long non-coding RNA (2935 nucleotides) under Homo sapiens (human). RNAcentral's name for it is "PREDICTED lncRNA (TCONS_00049057)". The record is from RNAcentral. Lineage: Eukaryota; Metazoa; Chordata; Mammalia; Primates; Hominidae.